Molecule: ribosomal RNA, 253 nt
Filed under: uncultured bacterium
Lineage: Bacteria
Description: partial 16S ribosomal RNA
Rfam family: Bacterial small subunit ribosomal RNA
Source: RNAcentral
UACGUAGGGGGCGAGCGUUGCCCGAAUUUACUGGGCGUAAAGCGCACGUAGGCGGCUUCGUAAGUCUGGUGUGAAAUCUCACGGCUCAACCGGGAGGCUGCACCAGAUACUGCGAAGCUCGAGGACGGGAGAGGAGAUCGGAAUUCCCGGUGUAGCGGUGAAAUGCAUUGAUAUCGGGAGGAACACCAGUGGCGAAGGCGGAUCUCUGGCCCGUUGCUGACGCUGAGGUGCGAAAGCUGUUGGAGCGAAAGGG